This 424-nucleotide ribosomal RNA is filed under the name uncultured bacterium. RNAcentral describes it as "bacterial SSU rRNA". It matches the Rfam family "Bacterial small subunit ribosomal RNA", at positions 29 to 489 of the family's 1533-position model. The record is from RNAcentral.
AACGAACGCUGGCGGCAGGCUUAACACAUGCAAGUCGAACGCUCGGAGCAAUCCGGGAGUGGCGGACGGGUGAGUAACGCGUGGGAACGUGCCCUGAGGUAGGGAAUAACUGCGGGAAACUGCAGCUAAUACCCUAUGAGCCCAUAGCAAUAUGGGGAAAGAUUUAUCGCCUUGGGAGCGGCCCGCGUCGGAUUAGCUAGUUGGUGGGGUAACGGCCUACCAAGGCUUCGAUCCGUAGCNGGUCUGAGAGGACGAUCAGCCACACUGGGACUGAGACACGGCCCAGACUCCUACGGGAGGCAGCAGUGGGGAAUCUUGCGCAAUGGGCGAAAGCCUGACGCAGCCAUGCCGCGUGAACGAUGAAGGCCUUAGGGUUGUAAAGUUUCUUUUGCCCGUGACGAUGAUGACGGUAACGGGAGAAUAA